This 460-nucleotide ribosomal RNA is filed under the name uncultured bacterium. Its description in RNAcentral is "partial 16S ribosomal RNA". It matches the Rfam family "Bacterial small subunit ribosomal RNA", at positions 338 to 795 of the family's 1533-position model. The record is from RNAcentral.
CCUACGGGGGGCAGCAGUGAGGAAUAUUGGUCAAUGGACGAGAGUCUGAACCAGCCAAGUAGCGUGAAGGAUGACUGCCCUACGGGUUGUAAACUUCUUUUAUAAAGGAAUAAAGUGAGGCACGUGUGCCUUUUUGUAUGUACUUUAUGAAUAAGGAUCGGCUAACUCCGUGCCAGCAGCCGCGGUAAUACGGAGGAUCCGAGCGUUAUCCGGAUUUAUUGGGUUUAAAGGGAGCGUAGAUGGGUUGUUAAGUCAGUUGUGAAAGUUUGCGGCUCAACCGUAAAAUUGCAAUUGAUACUGGCAGCCUUGAGUACAGUUGGGGUAGGCGGAAUUCGUGGUGUAGCGGUGAAAUGCUUAGAUAUCACGAAGAACUCCGAUUGCGAAGGCAGCCUACUAAACUGCCACUGACAUUGAUGCUCGAAAGUGUGGGGAUCAAACAGGAUUAGAUACCCCGGUAGUC